UACUAAUGUUGGUGUACAUAUGUG
This 24-nucleotide non-coding RNA is filed under the name Arabidopsis thaliana (thale cress). The record is from RNAcentral. Lineage: Eukaryota; Viridiplantae; Streptophyta; Magnoliopsida; Brassicales; Brassicaceae.